UAGGCUGUAAGACCCGAGCCGGGCGGAGAAGCAGAGGAGAGGGACACGGGAAGCAUGUUUAACCUGGGACUGAAAUCUGGAGAGCUUGGCUACCUUCAUCCUCCUCAGGCCAGAACAGGCUUCCUGAGACAGUCCAGGUCGUAGGAGUUUUACGAGUUAAAAAGCGGGCUGCAGACCCCUGCCUGGGUGUUUGGUUCAAGCCUUGGCUCUGGCCUUACUCUGUCUUCCCGGGAGUUCGUGAGAUUCGGACCUUAGAUUGUUAGUAUUAUUUUGAGGGCCUCCUGUGUGUAAGCACAGGUUGUGCGCAGAUGGCUGUGCAGAGCGCCAUGAGGUAGAGGCUGGGGGAAUGAGGGCUUGGAGGUGCUUGAGGUAUGGUCUUUACCUACGUGAAAUGUUGGAGGUUGAGAUGAAAAAUCUUGCUUUGAAUUCUUCACGGAGGACUACAUCAUUUCAAUCCUGAAUCUGACUCAAUUCUAUUAUUCACUUAUUACUGUAUUUAAAAUGUUUAAUUGGCUGGGCACAGUGGCUCAUGUCUGUAAUCCCAGCACUUUGGGAGGCCAAGGCGGGUGGAUCACUUGAGGUCAGGAGUUCAACACCAGCUGGGCCAACAUGGCAAAACCCUGCCUCUACUAAAAAUACAAAAAUCAUCCGGGUGUGGUGGCACGCACCUGUAAUCACAGCUUCUUGGGAGACUGAGGUGGGAGAAUUGUUUGAAACCAGGAGGUGGAGGUUGCAGUGAGCCGAGAUCACACCACUGCACUCAAGCCAUGGCAACAGAGUGAGACUCUGUCUCAGUAAAAAAAUAAAAAAAAAAAAAUGUUUAAUUAACCAUGA
Long non-coding RNA from Piliocolobus tephrosceles (Ugandan red Colobus), 834 nucleotides. RefSeq lists it as uncharacterized. The record is from RefSeq and is a predicted model, not a curated record. The transcript has 2 exons. NCBI's taxonomy places the organism in Eukaryota, Metazoa, Chordata, Mammalia, Primates, Cercopithecidae.